Molecule: long non-coding RNA, 1673 nt
Organism: Chrysolophus pictus (golden pheasant)
Lineage: Eukaryota; Metazoa; Chordata; Aves; Galliformes; Phasianidae
Source: Ensembl
CACCAGGCCGGCCGGGUGACCGUAAGGCAACGAUCGGCGCUGAUGGCAGCCAAGAGGAGGACGCUGGAAUACAUGUUGAGCACCGCCAACGCCGGGAAGAGUUUGCAACCGAAGUCGCCCAAAGGCCACCGGUGGUCGCCGGCUACCGGGAUGGCAAGGAAAGGCAAAGCGGCGCAGCAGAGGAGGUCGGCCACGGCCAGGUGGAGGAACCAGACGGCGGGGACGGCGCGGUGUUGCGCCGCGGAGCUCAGCCAAAGCACCGCCGCGUUGCCGGGGACGCCGAGAAGGAAGAUGGCGGCGUAAAGAGCCAAGGCCGCGCGGUGACCCCACGGGAUGUGGGGAUGGUGGACGUCCGAGCCGGAGGGGUCGAAGGUGAAGUUGGAGAGGUCGUCGUAAUCCGGGGCCGAGGUGGAGGGCGGCCAGAGCACGGGGGAGGUCAUUAGGGUAAUUAGGGUAAUGAGGGUAACGAGGUUAAUGAGGUUAAUGGGGGAGUCGGUGGGUGGUGGUUGGGGUCGAUGCCGAACUCAACGCCGAUGGUGUGGGUGAUGGGCAACGAGUUGGGGUGGAAGCUUGGGUCAACGAAGCUCGUUAGGUUAAUGAGGCUCGUUAGCUUGAUGAGGCUCGUUAGGUUGAUGACACUCGUUAGGUUGAUGACACUCGUUAGGUUAACGAUGUUGAUUAGGUUAAUGAGGGAGUGCUGGUGGUUGGGGUCAAUACCGAACUCAACGCCGAUGGUGUGGAUGAUGGGCAACGAGUUGGGGUGGAAACUUGUUGGGUCAAUGAAGCUCGUUAGGUUAAUGAGGCUCGUUAGGUUGAUGACACUCGUUAGGUUGAUGAGGCUCGUUGGGUUAACGAGGGACUGUUGUUGUUAGGGGUCAACGCAACCUCAACGCUGUGGCCAAUGGGCUCCAAGUUGUGCUGGAAGCUCGCUGGGUCAACGAAGCUCGUUAGGUUAAUGAGGCUCGUUAGGUUGAUGAGGCUCGUUAGGUUGAUGACACUCGUUAGGUUGAUGAGGCUCGUUCGAUGAUGUUAAUGAGGCAGUGGUGGUGGUAGAGGUCCACACCAACAGGGUGGACAAUGAGUUCCAAGUUGGGUUUGAAGCUUCUUGGGCCAACGAAGCUCGUUAACGAAGUUCUUGAAUUAAUGAAGUUCGUUAGGUUGAUUACACUCCUUGGCUUAAUCACACUCGUUUGGUUAACGAGCUCGUUAGCUUAACGAGGGAGUGGUGUCCUUAGGAGUCCAUGCCCACCUCCGUCCCAGUGGGUUCCAAGUUGUUUGGAAGCUCGUUGGGACAACGAAGUUCGUUAAGUUAAUGAGGCUGCUUGGCUUAAUGACGCUCGUUAGCUUAACGAGUUUUGCUAGGUUAACGAGGGAGGGGUGGUGGGAGAGACCCACGGCAACCUCAACGCCCACGGUGUGGCUGAUGGGCAACCAGUAGGGUGGAAGCUCGUUAGGUUAACGAAGCUCGUUAGGUUAACGAAGCUCGUUAGGUUAACGAAGCUCGUUGGGUUAACGAAGCUCGUUAGGUUAACGAAGCUCGUUGGGUUAACGAGGUUUUGGGCUGCAAAAGGGGAAAAAUAUGGGUGAGCUGUGGGGCAGCAGCAAAGGGUGGGAAUGGGGGGGGAUAUGGGGCACGGAGCUGUGGGGCUGCCCCAUAAGUGCCUCCCCCAACC